UUUUCUUUGAACUUGCUUUGGCGGUGGGCCCAGCCUGCCGCCAGAGGUCUAAACUUACAACCAAUUUUUUAUCAACUUGUCACACCAGAUUAUUACUAAUAGUCAAAACUUUCAACAACGGAUCUCUUGGUUCUCGCAUCGAUGAAGAACGCAGCGAAAUGCGAUACGUAAUAUGAAUUGCAGAUAUUCGUGAAUCAUCGAAUCUUUGAACGCACAUUGCGCCCUCUGGUAUUCCGGAGGGCAUGCCUGUUUGAGCGUCGUUUCUCCCUCAAACCGCUGGGUUUGGUGUUGAGCAAUACGACUUGGGUUUGCUUGAAAGACGGUAGUGGUAAGGCGGGAUCGCUUUGACAAUGGCUUAGGUCUAACCAAAAACAUUGCUUGCGGCGGUAACGUCUACC
Molecule: ribosomal RNA, 398 nt
Filed under: Candida albicans
Lineage: Eukaryota; Fungi; Ascomycota; Pichiomycetes; Serinales; Debaryomycetaceae
Description: eukaryotic LSU rRNA
Rfam family: 5.8S ribosomal RNA (bases 107-260)
Source: RNAcentral